ACCAGCGUGGCAUUAUGAAAUAGUCUUUCUAGUUCGAAACGGCAUUCACAUCCUGUCUUCUUCAUGUCUGAGCACACGUUACCCUGAUCUAUGCCUGCAUUUAAGUAAAACUAACUGGAUUAAGCUGAUAUCCGAACGCAGACGUAACAAUGCGUUUUAACUAUUUCAUCGACCUCUCAAGCGAUGAUGUGCGACAGCUCGGGCGGUUUUUGGCAGACGACUUAAAUUAAACAUGAACCGACUGGAUUCCAAUUCAUUCAAAAGGUCAUUCUUGUUGUCAUGCCAUUUUUAUCAAUGGAUAGUUUCAAUUGCUGGACAGACGCACGCUGCUAUAAAACAAAGAUCGCUUAUUCAAAAGCGGCGAUUACUUAUAAGAUGUUCGAUUAAUGUGUUUAUUCAGAAACACAGGAUUUCUACUGAUUAUUAACUUCCAGUUAAAGCAACCAAAACCGUCCUUGACUGUGAUUGGUCCAACAUCACGCAGUCGUUCAUAAACUCAUUGAACCGAGUUGAAUGCUAUGAGGUAAGUAAAGAAAAAACUAUUUCUCUUUUCUAGUGCUAGUUUGAAUCCGUCUCGGUGGAGCUUUCACCCACAGCUUUCUAGACUGAGCGAUGUGCUGCCACCUGCAGUCACUGAAAUCGAAGCAUUUCCUCCAUACAUCAGUUAUCGCAUCACGAAUCGGAAACGAAGCGGUCCUAACACCGAACCUUGGGACACACCUUCAAGUAUUUCUUUUUUUAAAAACCUAUUCAAUAAAAAAACUGAACCAAAUGCAAUGUCCUCUUUACCUAAUGAUCAUCUAAAGAUGAAAAAGCACGACUAAAACGGACAUAAUAGACAAAUGCCGCGGUUUCCCAGUUUAUGGAUCGGGUUCACAGUAAAUCUGGGUUAUUCCAGACUGUUGAACCAUGUUCAAAUCCUCAAGAAUGCCUGUAAAAUAAUUGUUUAUUUGUAUCCAGCACAAAUGGCUCACAUGCCACAUGUGACUUGUUUACGCUUUGCAUUUAGUUGACCAUACCUAAUUGCUUUGUCUUUUAUUAAAAUGCGAUCCAUGCAAAAGCAUGUUUCGACUGUGUCUUGUUUUCAGAGAAGUCAUCAUGUCCGGGCUUGGUAAAUGUGGGAAUCAUAAACUUUUGUAGGAUCGUAAAUUUCCAUCUUCAUUCUUUGUUAGUUUUUUAGUCCAGACCUGCGGUCAAAUUUUCAGCAGCUGAAAUAACAAUUUCCCCUUGACCAAACGUUAAUUUAAAUGCAUGUCCCCUGUUUAUGGAGCACUUUGACAUUUCAAGAUGCAUUGACAUUCUCAAUUUUAUAGACAGGCUGUUAAUGUGGAAGCAAUUAUAAAACAAGCAAACACACACAGUGUAAAACUGUAUAAAUGAUAACUGUCUAACUUAAGUACAGUGCUGCCAUUUUAUAAGACGAUUCCUAUCAAAUAUAUUUUGUGGCUGAAAUUAAAAAGAUUAAAAAAAAGAAGAUGAAAAAUAUGACGUUUUUUUUAGGAGUCAUUCUUUAGGGAAGGCACAUUAAGUUCUCCGUAGAAGAUAAGCCAGAUUGGGAAUCAUGCUGGGAAAUUUAGUGUCUGUGAACAUAAAUCAAUAAAUAUAUCACAAACCGCGGUGAGACUGGGGCCCUGUCCGCACGGAGACGCGUUUAGCUGUAAACACAUACAUUUUGUAUCCUAUAGGCAUUUCGUCAUGCCUUUUGGGAGCGUGGAAACUGAUAUGUUUUGAAAAACGGGUUCCAGAAUGGAUAAAUAUGAAAACGCCGCCAAUUUAUUUUCUUGUGUUUUUUCUGAAACGAUGAUGCGAGACAGUGCUACAUUACGUAACAGCAACCCAAAAAAUAACGUACGCUGAACAACUGUUUUUUUAAUUAACUAACAUUACCACAGAUUAAUAAAUGCAUUGUUCCAUGUCCGUUUGCAUACCACAUUUUUUUUUUUUUUUGGUUUUAUGUUGUAGCAGAUAUUAGACGUGGGAAAAAACAAUUGGAUAGGGAAAGUUCUGGCUUUGUGCUCAUUGAUCUCUCUCCUAAUGAGCUGAUGAUCUCGAUCAGGUGUGAUAAAUAUGCAAAAUGAAAAUGAUAGAAAAUGAAAACCACUGAUGUAGAUCGUCCAAGAUGUUGUAUCAAUUCCAUACUUCUUAAAAGAAAUUAAAUUGGUGAAUAUAUUGAUAUAUUUUAAAUAUCUGUUAAUACCUCACCCUGCUACGCCCUCUUCAGUGAUGUUUCCUUCCCCAAGAAGACUUCAGAGUUGCCUCCAUGUUGGCCAUGGGACUUUGCCAUCGGUCUGAUUGAUCUGAAAUCAACUGCAGGUGACAGAUCCUUUUUCCUAUUUAGCUCCCAAAUUUAGCGCUCUACAACAGUCUACCUAACAUUGUUUGGGAGGCAGAAACACUCAAAAUUUUAAUCAAGAUUAAAAAUAUAAUUACGUGUUCCCUUUUUUUUUUUACCACCAAAGCAAUGAUGACAUUUUAAUAGUGACUGUUUCUGUGGGAGAACACCCAACAAACAAAGUCGUCAAUAAGGAAACUCAAAUAUUUUUGUAGUCCCUGUUUAGGUAGUGACAAGUUUAGAUAUUUUUGAACCUGGCUCAAAGACGCUCAUCAGCACACGGUUAGUUAGCGCAGUUCUAAACGGUGGUAGACAUAUAGAAACACAAAAUGUUAUGGAAAAACUCUCAAAAAAGUGUGCUUAAUUGCAGAAAAAGGUGUUGAGUGACAUAUUGUGGGACCUAAAGUUUUAUAAUUUACAAAGAAAAUAUAAAAUAAAUAUUUUUUUCAAAUUUACAUUUUAAAAGAAACAAAGCAACAAAAAGAUGUUAAUAACUGUUUUUUUAGCAGGUUUUGUUGUUUUAUUUCUUUAGCUUAUAAAUAGAUAAGUAAGAGAGAAAAACAUAAUCUCUGGUUAUUUCAGGGCUAAAUAAGUACUAAGAUUAAUAUAAUAUUAUUAUUAUUAUUGGUUGGUGUUUUCAAUAUACUUUUUAAUGGUUGUAAUUAUUUUAUGUUUUAUUUCCUCCUCAAAAUCUGAAAACAGAAAACAACAGAUGUGUUUGAUUAAUUAGUUAAAACACACGCACACUUAAAUUUAAUUCUGAAUUAAAUCGCUGAUUUGUUAACAAUACAAUGUUGCUUUGAUUUCCUGUUUUUAGAAGUAUCUUGUAUCAUUCUUGCACAUGGUCCAGUGCUCACCUGUAUGUCUGAUCCUGUAAUGAUGUUUGUCACAUUUCUGUGUAUUCGUCUGUGAGGUGAACGUGCUAUUGCAGCGGAAAGUACGUGAUUUAUCGCAUAGGAGCGAUAUUUAUUUAAAUCAUGAUGCCAAGCAGCUUAACAGCAGUCGAUCUGAUUCGUUUAAUCAACGGUGAAACAAUCAUCGAAAGGGAUCUUUCAACACUUGUGUGAUUACAUUACAUUUGGUUGUUAUUUGCUACCAACCAGCCCUAAAACAAAUUACUCUGUUCCUCCUCCACAAGUGUGAUCUUUACUCUGAUGUUGUGCUGUGUUUAUUUCUCAUAGACUUCUUUAAUCUUGUUGCAUCUGGCCACGUAUCAUUUUUCUUCCCUAAGUGGACCCAAAUGUUAGUUUAACACCCGCCAAAAAGCAUUUCCAGUAAACCUGAGAAAUAUAUAAAGAAUAUAAUCACAAAAAGGGACAAAUUAAUGUAAUGUGUUAAUGUAGUGCAUUUGCGUAAGAACCAGGAAAGCUAUGACUAAAUAUAAUUUCUGAAAGUGUAAAAUAUCCUUUGUGGGAUUGAAACUAUGACUCGUUUUGUCUCUGGAUGGCAUUAAAAGGCUUUAGAGCCAAUGAGGAUUGUCAGAUCGCAAUUACACUCACCUUUAAAGAAGUUGUGAACAUUUGCAUGGAGUCCAAUGAAUCAUUUCAGACUGUGGGGGUGCAUUGACUUAUAGGAAAACAGACAAUGAGUGUGUCAACAUGUAGUUAAGAAUGAGUAGAAAGACAAAUGUUUCCGUUUUAUGUGGUAUUUGAUAUUUUUAGAGGUUUUGCCACAUUGGUCAGACCAGACGUGACAUGGACUGGGGAAAGUUGAGUGUUCUUCCAGGUAGCACUGGUCGGCUUUUAUCUUCUCCAAAGAUGUUGCAAAAGCAACCACAAGCUCAUCUCUCACAGCUGAACAGCAACAACAUUAGCGCCCAUUCUUGUCUGUGUGUGUUUUGGUCAGAAGUGGAUAGACAGUCUUGUGUGGUUUGGAGUGAAUCAUCCAGUCAACAUCCGGACUCUGGUUUAUAUCUGUGAAAGCUGUGCUAUGUCAGGAACUGACCAGCAGCAUAUUAAAAGUGUUCAGCAACAAUUUUUGUGGCGGCUAAUGGCACAUACAAUUUUAGUUGACAACAAACAUAGAGAUCGCAAUCUUUAACAUAGAGGUCGCAAUCUUUCAAACUUAAAGUUUGAAAAUGCCGUAACUGUACUUUCUGGUCAUGUAGGCAUUGUGCGUCGUCUGGUAUUGAUUACAGAUAGCAUGAUGAAAUAUGUAAUUUGUAAAGUAAUCUAGAUUACUUGUUUACUUGUUUUACGUAUUCAAAAUUCUAAGACAAAUAAAACAUUACUUUAACCAGAGUUUCCGAAACGGUAACAGCUACCACAGAUGUUUAUCAACAAAAAAUGCUGGGUUAAGUAUGGACUAACCCAGCUAUCGGGUUGUUUUCAAUCAACAGUGGGGUUAAAUGCAAAACAACCCAGUUGCUAGGUUUGUCCAUAUUUAACCCAGCAUUUUUAACAGCAGGAUUCUAUUCUAUGAAUACAGUCACUGAUAUUUUAAUGGAAACUAAAUGUCUCUGAGCAGACUGAUAAAAAAAAUAAAAUAAACUUAUGUUCUUACCCAUGGAAGCCAGCCAAUCAGAUUACAGUUUUCCAGAUCGUGAAAGUACUCAAUAUGUAUCAGACUGUGAGUGUAGAGUCAGACUCUGAAAAUAACCUAUGAUCAGCCUCCCAAACAUUAAAACCGGCAUAUGAGAAAGUCUUAUUACAUGGACAAAAUUAUACACAUCUGCUUCAAGUACAGAUGGGUUGAAAGACACCAUUUAUACCCCUCAUUCAAACCAGGAAGCUUCAAGAGGACCUGUAGGAGUAAUUUAAUGGAUUUCCUCCUUAUUGAUCAGAAGGGAACAACGCCUCCUUGGUAGUGUGAUUUAUCUUGAUGUAGCAAUAGCCAAGUGCUUAUAAGUCCUAGAUGACCAUCGCAGAAGCCAUGUGCAUGUGUCUAAGUGCUUAUUGGAACUGUCAAAGACUUGGCCCACCCACCGGCUGGAGUCCCCAGUUCAUUUGUUGAACACAGGGCAAAUGUUAAGCCCAUCAGUGACCUGGACAGCCUGUUCUCUAGGAAGUUAGUCCACCCCAAAGCUGUGUUGAAUAACUUACUUCAAAUAGCUUUUACCAGGGCCUUCUAAUCUACUUACCUCUAUGAAAUAUUUUAAUUUCCCAUGUGGAAGUUUGAAGGUAAGAAAUGUUCUGUAGAUUACAUUCGCCCAAGCAGGGGACAGCGGAUUAUUUGUAUAUUAUAAUGGAGCUGAUUGUCAAGAGACCAGCUCCAGCAUACAUUCUCAGAAGGCUGAGAGAAUGCGGGCAUGUUUUUUACUUGCGCUAUAGUCGCAGCACAAAAUUAUUGGCUAGAUUGUCAACUUGAAAUGUUUAAUUCGGCUAAGAGGAUUAAGAUUCUUUAUACUGUUCAGUGGCUCAGCCGGCGUUUGGAUUACCUGCACCUCAAGCUUACUGUACGAAGUUGGAAAAUAAACCCUGAUAAAGAUCCAGGGGCCAAACAAAACAAACUCAUUACCUGCAAUGCUCAAAUUAUGAAAUUUCUGCUACUUCUGCAACCCUUCAUUAUGCUGAGAAAACUGAGGUGUAGGCAGGUUCUCUUUGUUUUGACUAAGACGUAAAUUGACGUGUUCAAGAUAUGGACCUUCGAUGAUUUAUCUCCUGAAUUUCCCUAGACCAUAAGAUCUUAUUGCAAGGCACUUUUGUUUUUCAGAAAAAUCCUCUUCGACGUGAUUACAGGAGAUUUGGAUUUCUAAGACAUCCAAGUCGCAGGUAAUGCCGCGAAGCAGACAAUAAACACAACAAAGGCAUAGUUUCCAAAGAAAAUCCAUUUGAGCCUUGCCCAAAGGAGAUCUCAGAGUCUCCUGGAAAAGACUCCUCUUGUGAUACCUCGGAGAGUUUGCGUACGCAGCGGGAGCCGCGAGUGGCCGCGGCCGGAGCCAAGGACAAAAGAUCAAACUAAGAGAACCACACAUGAACUGAUGAAAACAACAGCUUCAUUGUGUGGCGGGCGUCUUUAUCGGGACCCCCUCUCAUUUGCUGUUUCCUCCUUCUUUUCCUCCCCCACUUUCUGCGUUUUUUCAUGUGGUAACAAAUGUAUAAGGAAGCAAUGGUUUGAAAGAUUCUUCGGUUGGAAAAAAAGCUUUGUAAUUGAAAACACACAUUGAGUCAGAGGAGCUGAGCUACCAGGGGAGGGCAGAGAAAGCCCCAAUGAACAAAGGUUUGAAUUGCGAAAGAGACAAACUAGACUCUGCGUGACAUCUGACUAAAUACUCUCAUUGUUUUUCUCCCCAAAAACAAGUAUCGCAUAACCGGCGGAGGGAAAGAACAGAGGAGAGGGACGUCUGCCGAGUCCAGACCUGCUGCCUUGACUUCCCCCAGCGAGCUUCAGAAACAAUCCGUCCGGUAUUACGGAGACGUGCCCUUGAAAACUGUUUAUCCGUCUGACUCUGUGCAACAAUAUAAACUUGUGAACCAUGUUUUGGAAGCAUCUGUGUUUUUCAAAAGCUAUGAAUGGUUUCAGACCUCCUUCAAGGAAGGUUUAAGCCCUCAAAGUUAGAUAAUAGGGUAAGUCACGAGUGUUUAUAUUGUAGCGGUUGCAUCAAUCUGUUGCACAUUGCUGGAGAGGCAUAACAGGACACUGACUCUCAGCUUAAAGUUCAUGGAUAUUGGUUCCAGAUUUCGCCCAUUCAUGGAGAAACGUCUCAAAUCCUCUUGUUGUGGAGAGGUAUACCGUUUGCAAAGGGAUCAGACCUACAGUUUUCUGCAUUCAAAGUCCAGAGGAUCGUUGAGACAGGAGGGUGGGCUUUUCUGACUCGGGGCUAGCAACACCCUAGCAACCAUUCAAAACAUUAGAAACCACCUAAAUCAAGAAGAAAAACACCAAAGUCAACAGGAGUCCUCCGAGCUGUUGGAGGGCCCCACUCCAUGUGACCCUCUCCCCCAUAUUGGACGCUGUGGCCCCCCGCACAUCAUACACAACACAUGUUUUCCAGCCCUUGACAUCCACAGAUACCGUAUCCACCAACAGUAGCAGUGCAGUAGGUUGUGGGAAACCGCACAGGGAGUGCCUGGCCGUGGAGGGAUGGAGAACAGAGUGAUAUGGAUAAGCGGAUUGGCAGUCUUCCUCUACUAGUACAAGGAAACCCUAAACACACAAACACUCCCUCCAUUUAGGGUCAACUGAACGGUCAACCCACAAAACAGGUGAGAAGCGCUUUUGUUCAUGUAUGCGAACCCUGUUUCCAUUCCCGUACUCCCACCCAGCAUUAUAUAGUAUAAAUAAAUAUUCAAUCAAGCUCUCUUUUGAGGUUCUGUGUUGGCUGGCUACUAUUAUGUUACAAAUCCCAGGCCUGAGGGGUAGUUAUAGAAACCCCUUCCAAAAUACUCGGUAGGAAAAAGAAUAGACGCCUUGAGGCCGGGGGUUCCACCCGCGCCCCCCUUUUCUCCACAUCCUUUAAACCAUCAGCGGAGUGGAGCCCAUGACGCAGAGCGGGACACCUUCUCUGACGUGGUCUAGUUCACCUAAUGGGUGUUCCGCAUUUUUUUCGGCCUUUACGUUGUGGCUGUAAAAAUGGCCACUUUGCUUAUUGGCCCUCUCCAGAGUUGGUGUGGAAACCGCACGGAAAAAUCCCAGUGGCGUAAACCCAACUGGCAGCUCGUAAAAGUGGUUCCCUCUGCGUUAACCAGACGGUAAAGCCUGUAAUAACCCCAGCAUUAUUUACUUACCCUUAGGCAUUAUUGUUUAUGUUAUGUUGUCGUAACCUUUAUUCUUUAAAGGAACGGUUCCAUUUUUAAACUUAUGUAAUUUAGUCACACUCAAGUUGUUCCAAACCCAUAUGACCUAUUUUUAUAUGGAAAACUAGAUUUUUUUUUUUAAAUAUAUGCAAAUCUUUUCCAUACCAUGACAGCUUAAAGUGGCCACAGCUGUUAAGCUCAAAAGAAAAAUCUUAAAAGAACCACUAUAAGCAGUCGAUACAACAUACUAUUACUAUACACAAUGUUUUCUUGAAGUCAUACAACAGGCCUAAAUUAUAUUCACUGAUAAUCUUCCUCACAGUAAGCUGUUAAACUUGAGAACUGAUCAUUGAGUCACUGAGUUCAGAACUUAGAUCUGUGAAUGAACUGUUUGUCCGGUUUGCCAACCAGAUCAACCAGUUCACUGGAAAGAAAAAGCUCAAAACCCGAUUGAGCCUAAUACAUGUAAGACUACAUUCGAUAAUAAACAUCUUGAAAGUUUCUAUCCAUUGGUUGUUGGUUGGAUGGAGGCAGAUCUGAGUGCAAGCUUGCAGUCUUUAGCACAACAAUCUAGUUCUGUGAGUAAAACAUCCAUAGGAUUUUGCUGAAGCUAUCAGUUUGAAUUAUUUAAACUUAUGUUUCAACAAUGUUUAACAGCUAAGUUCCUGGUGAAAAACGACAUGCAAAUUAUGUAAUAGAGUCAAAAUACUAAAAUAUGUGCAUAUUUUGCAAAAAAAACUUGUUUAUAUGCACAAUCAACAGUUUCAUAUGGAUAGUUUUACAUUUCUGCCUUUCAGAAUCGAAAUCCCCGAAAUCAAAGAACUGUGAUGUUGGUCAAACCGCCUCAUGGGCAGCCCUUGGCCAAUGAAAGCUGUCACGGAUUCCAGCGCGUCACGUUCUUUAACUACCACCCGAAAACAAAGAUGCUGUGACUCCAAAAUCCUCACGAAAGACGAAAGCCGUCACGUUUACAACAGUGACAACAAGCACUUAUGAGGAUAAACUAAGCGCUUUAAGUUCGCAAGAUAGAAUUUUUUUUAAAUACAUCAGCAAUCAGUCUGAAGGCCUGGCUACGCGCGACUAACUGAAGGGUGACCAAACCAAUUUUCAUGAUUUUCUUUUUUUUGACAGAUGUAAUUCAUUAUGAAACGUCACUGCAUGAAGCUACAAAAAAAACUACUUUUGUUUUGAGCCUACAGGUUUUUAACUAAAUGAUGAAAGUUUCUGGUUUGGGGAAUUAAUCUUCUAUAAUGAUGACGAUAAAUUAAAAAAAAAAAAAAAACAUGGUUGUGUAACACUUCUGGCAACCUUUGUGAAGAAACAAACAGGGCAGGGCAUCCUAGGACAACUGUCGACUGGAACGCUAAGGCCAUGGAUGGAGAGAUAAGCAGCUGUGAGUGGAAUCACGCAAACCACUCCUUUCACUUCCCUCUGCUUCCCUCCCUCGGUGUCUCCCACUUGAUCCGAAUUCCACAAAACACAGUUCCCUGAAUUAGCUAUAUGUUUAUACAUAUAAUUCAUACUCCCGCUCGGCUGUCAAGCAUCUCCAAAACAUCUUGUCAGUAUUGAUCAUUCUCAUUGACUAACACUCAUAUUACCCCUAUCUAGGUGACCGACCACCCCGGGAGCGCAAAAACAAGUGAUAAACAGAACAUUAGCGAGCCGUUGUAUAAGGGCUUCAUAAACUUCAGGCCAGCUGAUGGCACUGCUGCUGUCAGUUGAGUUUGGCUUGCGUUGUUAGGCGAGUCGACAACAAAACAGAGUGAGCAGAGGUGCAAAAGAGCGAAGGGGGGGCUCACAAGACAUGCUCUCGCAUGCAAAAACAGCUGGCCGGUAUGUACUGGAGUGGACCAGAAUGGAGAGGUCUUGACACUCUUUGUUUCAUCUUAAAAGAGCAACUAGUAGAACACAAGAUACUCUAAAUAUUAGACACUUGAUGCAACUGGACGCUUAACACCCUAAUGUUCAAAAUACCGCAUUUACAUCUCCGCUUUCGAAUCGCAAAAUACAAAUUGUCAAUGUGUUUCUAGUGAAAAUAAUGUCUCAUUGUAAUUGGAAAGACGACUGACUUACGUGUCGCUUAAAUCUGUCACACCAUAUUAAAGAGUGUGAAAAACACAUUUUUGUAUAUAUAUUGUUCGCAUUUUGAUCGGAUUCGUCUGAAAGAAGAAAGUCACAUACAACUAGGAUGCUUUAAAGGUGAGUAAAAGACAGGAUCAUUUUCACCAUUUUUGGGUGAACUAUCCCUUUAAGUGACCAAACACUGAAUUCUUAACUAAAUGCAGGUAAAUACUUACAGCCAUGUAUUGUAAAAGUUACACAUUUCUUCUUUUCCUUUUAUUUUUGAUGAACAGACAUCACAGUAGCUGGUUAAUACCUUGUUUUUGGCUGCUAUUUUUUUUAAGAGCUGUCACUGCUGAAGGUGGUGAUCUGGAAAGAUCUUUUCUGACCCAUUUCAGUCUCUGCUAAUAAACUGAUGAUUUGAAUCAGGUGUGUUUGAUGAGGGAGACUGCUGGGACGCUUCAGUAAAGUUUUGAAAACCUUUUCAGAGGCUUUUAUAUAUAUUUUAUAUAUAACAUAUUGCAUGCACACACAGUUUUAAGGCAGCUUUAAUCGCCUUAACUUCAUGCCGUAACUGACCGAAACGUUUUCAGUUUGAUAUGAUUGUAAAGAUGUUCUGCGACUGAAUAAAUGCACUUCUUUUCAAGAAAAUAAAGACACAUAGCAGUUAUGAGUGUGGUGGGCAACCCUAAGCUCCGCCCCUGCAUUAAAUAAUUUAAGUGUCACACUAAAAAAAAUUAAUUGUCUGCGAUAACGACACAUCCGAGAGAAACGAGAGAGAGAAAGAGAGAGAGCUGUCAUAGCCUAGAAACAACAUACUUUUUAUAAAUGUUUACAUGCAUAAAUAGGAUAACAUAUUUGAAUUUUUGUCUUGUAAUAA
Molecule: long non-coding RNA, 10948 nt
Organism: Puntigrus tetrazona (Sumatra barb)
Lineage: Eukaryota; Metazoa; Chordata; Actinopteri; Cypriniformes; Cyprinidae
Exons: 5
Source: RefSeq, a predicted model, not a curated record